RNAcentral lists this ribosomal RNA (253 nucleotides) under uncultured bacterium. RNAcentral describes it as "partial 16S ribosomal RNA". It matches the Rfam family "Bacterial small subunit ribosomal RNA", at positions 524 to 776 of the family's 1533-position model. The record is from RNAcentral.
UACGGGGGGGGCAAGCGUUGUUCGGAAUUACUGGGCGUAAAGGGCUCGUAGGCGGCCAACUAAGUCAGACGUGAAAUCCCUCGGCUUAACCGGGGAACUGCGUCUGAUACUGGAUGGCUUGAGUUCGGGAGAGGGAUGCGGAAUUCCAGGUGUAGCGGUGAAAUGCGUAGAUAUCAGGAGGAACACCGAUGGCGAAGGCAGUGUUCUGGGCCAGUACUGACGCUGAGGAGCGAAAGCGUGGGGAGCAAACAGG